Pipistrellus kuhlii (Kuhl's pipistrelle) is the source of this 387-nucleotide long non-coding RNA. RefSeq lists it as uncharacterized. NCBI's taxonomy places the organism in Eukaryota, Metazoa, Chordata, Mammalia, Chiroptera, Vespertilionidae. The transcript has 3 exons. The record is from RefSeq and is a predicted model, not a curated record.
GCAGCCAGCAGCAGCUGCCGAUCCAGGAGCAGAUUGGGUCCCAGGCCAGCCAUACCCUGUUGGGCAUACUCUGUCUCUUUCCCCUGCCCUCAAUUUCUCCUCUGUGCUCAGUACUUUCUAUUGCCCCUGCUUGAGGCUCCUGCCCUCUCUACUAUUUUCCAGUUAGGUAUUCUCAUUUCCGGUGUCACAAGAGAUAGCUAAGCAGCUGGGAAAAGCAACACUAGACCCAGCUUCCUGCCACCGCCUGCACCUAUGUCUGAACCACCGACACAGAAAUAUCCCACCCUCCCUACUCUUGCUUGCUGAAAUGGAUAUACUGGUGUGUAUUACUAAUAAAAUCUCUAAAACUCCAAAAAAAUAAAAAAAAAUUUAAAAAAUAAAAUAAAA